CCGUAACAAUAACGGUCCUAAGGUAGCGAAAUUCCUUGUCGGGUAAGUUCCGACCUGCACGAAUGGCGUAACGAUGGCCACACUGUCUCCUCCUGAGACUCAGCGAAGUUGAAGUGGUUGUGAAGAUGCAAUCUCCCCCGCGGGUUAGACGGAAAGACCCCCAUGAACCUUUACUGUAGCUUUGCAUUGGACUUUGAACCGACUUGUGUAGGAUAGGUGGGAGGCUGUGAAGCCGGGACGCUAGUUCUGGUGGAGCCAACCUUGAAAUACCACCCUGGUUUGUUUGAGGUUCUAACCACGGCCCGUGAAUCCGGGUCUGGGACCGUGCAUGGUAGGCAGUUUGACUGGGGCGGUCUCCUCCUAAAGUGUAACGGAGGAGUACGAAGGUACGCUAGGUACGGUCGGACAUCGUGCUAAUAGUGCAAUGGCAAAAGCGUGCUUGACUGCGAGACCCCACACGUCGAGCAGGUACGAAAGUAGGUCAUAGUGAUCCGGUGGUUCUGUAUGGAAGGGCCAUCGCUCAACGGAUAAAAGGUACUCUGGGG
RNAcentral lists this ribosomal RNA (545 nucleotides) under uncultured bacterium. Its description in RNAcentral is "bacterial LSU rRNA". It matches the Rfam family "Bacterial large subunit ribosomal RNA", at positions 1934 to 2473 of the family's 2925-position model. The record is from RNAcentral.